GUGAAUCAUCGAAUCUUUGAACGCAAAUUGCACUCUCUUUGGAGCGUAUGCCUGUUUGAGGGUCAGUAAUAAUAAAAUCGGGGUGUUGCUCUUUUGUGACACAACGGAGUUUGGGUUACAUUUGACUUUCGGGUUUAAGAGGCUUAAAAUUGAACUUUUUUGUGUACUCUUAGACGUACAUAAAUUUAUUUUAUUGUCUCUUCUGGUCCCAUUUAUCUAUUAGGUGCGAUCAUGUUUAUAUGUUCUCGUGCC
RNAcentral lists this unclassified non-coding RNA (252 nucleotides) under Glomeraceae sp. RNAcentral's name for it is "partial contains 5.8S ribosomal RNA and internal transcribed spacer 2". The stretch from base 1 to 65 matches the Rfam family "5.8S ribosomal RNA", at positions 84 to 154 of the family's 154-position model. Lineage: Eukaryota; Fungi; Glomeromycota; Glomeromycetes; Glomerales; Glomeraceae. The record is from RNAcentral.